UUUAAUCCUUUUUUUAAAUUGAUUUUUAAUUGAUUAAAUGUUUAAAAAUAUUAUUGAGCCAUUUUUAUGGUCUUGUGAUGUUUGACUUUCUGUUUGGGCCUUGGUCAUUGUUGAUUUGACUUUUGUUGAAUCAAAACCAUUGGAUUUAGGGGAUUGAUGAAAUGUACAUUUCAUCUCCCAAAAUGAAUGAAUGGUUUUGAUUUGAUGAAAUUCCUCUCAUGAUCAAUUUGUGUUUCUACCUUCC
RNAcentral lists this long non-coding RNA (244 nucleotides) under Lathyrus oleraceus (garden pea). Its description in RNAcentral is "Pisum sativum (pea) long non-coding RNA (PSAT_LNC017235)". The record is from RNAcentral. Lineage: Eukaryota; Viridiplantae; Streptophyta; Magnoliopsida; Fabales; Fabaceae.